RNAcentral lists this ribosomal RNA (497 nucleotides) under uncultured bacterium. RNAcentral describes it as "partial 16S ribosomal RNA". It matches the Rfam family "Bacterial small subunit ribosomal RNA", at positions 28 to 507 of the family's 1533-position model. The record is from RNAcentral.
GACGAACGCUGGCGGCGUGCCUAAUACAUGCAAGUAGAACGCUGAAGCUUGGUUCUUGCACCGUGCGCAUGAGUUGCGAACGGGUGAGUAACGCGUAGGUACCCUGCCUGGUAUCGGGGGAUCACUAUUGGAAACGAUAGCUAAUACCGCAUAACAGUAGAUAUCGCAUGAUAGCUACUUGAAAGGUGCAAAUGCACCACUACCAGAUGGACCUGCGUUGUAUUAGCUAGUUGGUGAGGUAACGGAUCACCAAGGCAACGCUACAUAGUAGACAUGAGCGGGUGAGCGGCCAGACUGGGAGGGAGACACGGCACAGAGUGAUACAGAAGGCAGCAGGAGGGAAUCUUGGGGAAUGGACGGAAGUCAGACCGAGCAAGGCGGCGUGAGUGAAGAAGGUUUUCGGAUGGUAGAGCUCUGUUGUAAGAGAAGAACGAGUGUGAGAGUGGAAAGUUCACAGAGUGACGGUAUCUUACCAGGAAGCAACGGCUAACUACGUG